Molecule: long non-coding RNA, 9912 nt
Filed under: Equus caballus (horse)
Lineage: Eukaryota; Metazoa; Chordata; Mammalia; Perissodactyla; Equidae
Description: lncRNA (ENSECAG00000031782.2)
Source: RNAcentral
AAUUUACAUCCGAGAUGGGGAGUGAGUGGCAGCGGUUGUCAUGGAGACCAUCUCCAGGGCCCUGGCUGCCUCCGCCUCUCGGUGCAGCCAAGAGAUCAAGAGAUUCUCGCUCCAGCUCUGCAGCUGGGGCCGGUCCGUGCCUCCCAGGCACCCUGCCCGCCUCCCCCCACCCUGGGCCGGCCCCUAGGGGCUGGGAGGGAGCAGGCACCCCCAAACGCACACCAGAGGAUGCAGACCGUUCUCCUGAGUUGGGGUGGUUUUUCAGGAUCUGUUCAGGCCCCACCUCCUCCAGGAAGUCUUCUUUGACCCCCUCCAGGCUGGGUCAGAACACCUCCGAGAAACAGGAUUCCUCACUCUUCCUUGGGAACAAGAACAAGUCGGUCUCCCCUUCUCUGAAGGUGCGGUAUGAGGAUAACAUCUCGGACCCCAGCAGCCACGGCUGCCACCCUAACUGGAUCAGCGGACACCAUGAGGAGGAUAGAGGAAAAGAAGCGCAGAGGAACCAAGCCAGAUCCCCCACUAUAUCACGAACCUCUGGAUCAAACCAUGCCUGAAACCCACCCCACCUCUGAAUUGUUCUAUGACAUGAGCCCAUAAUUCCCAUUUUGAUUAGAUUUUCUGUCUGUUGUAAUUGAGAGAGUUCAAACAGGUACAGGAAUUCACCCAACGUGGACAGUAGCUAUUUCUGGGGGGGGCAACUAAUGAGGGAACUUUCAUUCUGCAUGUACAUGUUCUAUAUUGUCUGCAGUUUUACAAUGAGCGGGCAGUGAAAUCAAGGCUGGUGUUUUCUCCUGAGCAAACAAGUUGGCUACGAGCUGGUGGCUUGAAAAACUGGGUGGGUGGUGGUGCCAGUGAUAAAGGAGGUGCGAACGGGGGGAAGGUGGCGGUUUUGACUUGGGGCACAGAGCCCCCAUGUGGGGACUUCCAGGGGCUGGUGCUCAGGAGGGACAGUCAAGGAGGGGCCAGGGGGCAGGGCCGAGGCAGGUCACAGCCCACAGCCCACGGCCAGGGCCUCGCUCACCAGUGAAGUACAUGGUGCUGCUUCCCCCAAAAUGCUCCCCAGGGGGCUGCCACUGCCUCAGUGGCCCCACUGCUGGAGCCGACGACUAAGGCCAGCUCUGAGUGGCCGAACCCAUCAAGCUGCACGAUUCUUGGAAGUGGCCUCCCAGCCACCUCCAGUUGGCACAGGUGGCAGGGACCCCUGGGGUCCAAUCGGCAGGUUGAUUCCUCAAGCGUCAGUCGAGGCUCCGAGGCCGGGGGCGAAUUACGGCAGCAACAGGCUCUCCUGUGAGGCUUUGCCCUGCUUAGAAUGACACCCCCCCGCAUCUGCGCCCUCCCCCGAGGGCCCUGAGACGCAGGCCAGGCAGCCUUCCACCUCGGUUUCACGGAGAAAGAAGUGUAGGCACAGAGAGGCCAAGCAACUUGCUCACAAUCACACAGUGCGGCAGAAUUUGCCAGAAUUUGAGCCCAGUUCUCCUGCCUCCAGACCUGGUCCCCCUUCUAUUGCCUCCUGCUGGGCUUCACAGCAGGGGUUGGGGCACGGAAUUAUUUGGGGUGAAGGUUGGCCGAUGAGGCCCUGAGAAGAUCUUGGCCCAGACUGGGGAGGCUGGGGGGCGGGGGAGGGUGCAGAGGCUCCCUGAAGGAGGGAGGGGAGGGACUCAGGCAAGGAAGCUUCUCCCAAUCCCCACGGCUGCCCUGGGGCCACCACAUGUCCUUCCCUGUGCGCUCAGCACCCAGUCUCACGUGCUAUAUUGGUCAUCACCUUGAACCCUCAAACAUCCUGUUAUCAGCCUGUUUUACAGGCAAGGAAGUGAGGUGCAGAGAGGUUAGGUAAUUUGUCCAAGGUCACACAGCUAGUUAGGAAUGUAGAUCUCUGGCCAGCUGGAGCCCAGAGCCUGUGCAAAGGCCCUGAGGCAGGACCCAGGAGCAGGGUGCACUAAAAGAACCGUCACAAGCCAGCAGGCUGGGGCCAGAAAGGAAGCAGAAAAGGCCCUUCUGAGCUUCAUCCAAAUCUUACUUUUUCAAGCAAAAGUCUCCAGCCUCCACAGGAUGUGGCUUCCUGCUCAGUGGAGCAAGACUCCAUCCAUCCUGGCCUCGGUUUCCUGUUGGGGGUGGCGGGGACGCACAGAGGCCUCUGGGGUCAGGAGAAGUGGCAGCGGCUUCAGCGGCGAAUAGUUUUUGUAAAGACCCAGCAAGUGGGGAGAGUCGGAGGCAGCGGAGGGGGGACGCCUGUUCACGGACGGACGCAGCGGGGCGAACGUUCCUGCAGGGCGCAGGGCGGCCGGGGGCGAUCGCCGGGCGCGUGCGGGCACACGCGCACACGCACACGCGCGCGCGCGCUCACGGAGCCGCCCGAGGAGCCGCCAGGACCCAAGAAGCGAAAGUGAGCAACCUCUAGUGAAAGAAACAGUCAGGCACAGACAGCGCGCGCCCGGCCCGGCCAUGGCGCGCUGGGCACACGCGGUGCGCUCCCGGCAGCCGGGCGCGUGCGCGGCGGCCCCGCGGAGGAAACGCCACCCGGGGCCGGUCCGAGGCCCGGCGGCGGCAGAGCUGGGCACCCCGCGGGCGCUCGGCACCCGCCCCGACCCCACCCCGCGGCCCCCGCGCCGAGAUGCGCCCCCAGGCCUGGCUCUGACCCAGCGCCCGGGGGGCCCUUCGCCCCGCCCCUCCCCGCCGGUGCAGGAACUGUCCCUUCCCAGCGGCCCCCAGGAGCGCCAGGACCCUGCAGGGGUCGUUGCUCAGGUGGCCUUGGCAGCAGCCGGCCUCCCGGAGAAGGAACCUCCGAGGGACCGCCCUGGGAGGCCAAGGGCCGCCGGGCUGGGGAGAAGAGCUCGCGGCAGCGGCCCUGGCGCCUCGGGAGCGCCCGCCCCCCUUCCCUUCCCAGAACCGGCUUUUCCAGCUCGGCGGCUUCGCCAGGCUUCUGGCGGGUGGGGAUUGUUUUCCCCGGGGGCUUGGGUGGGAAGAGUGAAGACAGGGAAGCUGGCUGCCCACACAGUGCUCUGCCGUCCGCGCCCCCUCCAGAGGCGCCCCAGGGACGCCGCAGCUGAAAUAAACACGGACCCCGGGCGCUGCCUUCGCAGAGGCGCAGACGCUCCACCAUCACGACGUCGGGCCUCCGCGCAAACACCAGGAGAGGCCUCGAACGUCCUGCAAGGGCUGCCGGAGUCCGGUGCGCCUGGGGCCGGUACACAGCUCCCAGGGCUCCCAAAAUGCACAGAAGGGCGUGACUUCUUCCCGUGGCGAGCAAGUCCGCGGGGGAGUUGGAAGACCCAUCCCAGACCUUGGCCCAGGGGGCGAGCUCCGGACUGCACUGCAGGGUGUCCCCCACUGAGCUGGUUCAGCCUCUGCGAGCACAUAGCUAAUGAGGCAGGGAGAAGUAAGCAAUCAUGGUGUGGCCAGGGCUCCAGGAGAGGCCCAGCCGAGAGGCCUCCCGGAGGAGGUGUCCUCCAGCGCAAAGGUGCUCCCUGCUAAGGCGGGUGCGGGAGAGUAGCUGGCCUCAGGAGGUCCCACCUCCCCGGGGCUCUUCAGAGUGCCAAGUCUCAGGUAGCCUGAGAUGAAGGGGAGGACCCCUCAGAGCCUCGGGGCUGCCUUCCACUCUGCAGGUGGAGAGCUGGGGGUCUGAGAGGUGCUGCCCAGGGUCACCCGCUCGCUAGAGUUUGGGCUGGGCCCUGGCACAGAGUAAGUGGUUAAUAAAUGGAACUGUGCAGGUUGGAAUCCAGCAAGCCAGGUCGAUCUCCAUGGACCCUCCCUCCCUCAUUUCCUACAAAGCUUUGAGUCCCUUCUACGUGGUGAUUAAGACACAAACAAGAGCCCCGUAGACAAAAACGUUAAGAUAAUUUUAGUUAUUGAUAAGUGGCGUGUUAGUGAGGGACUGAGCGAGUACAGAGAGAGCACAGUGAGCAGGGCCUCCGUGGGUGGGGGGGGGUCUCUGAGCUGAAGGAUGAGCAGGGCCCAGCCAUAGAGACAUAGAGACAGAGUAGGCCAGGCGGAGGGAAUGGCAGAUGCAAAGGCCCUGAGGCAAGAAUAUGCCUGGCGUGUAAGAAGAGCAGAAAGUCAGCUGGAGCAGAGGGAAGGAGGGGUGUGCAGGCCACGGAGAGGAGUUUGGGUCUGAUUUCAAGUACGUUCCUCCCGUGUGAUCGGUGUGGAGAGGGCAGGAACAGCUGCUGUGGGAGAACCCCCGCUGGACUGAAGUGAGCCUGGGGAGCUGCUCCAGGAUGUGCACUUGGACUGAACGCCUGCUCUUCAUUCCCCUGAGUCCUUCGGCCGCAGGGUUUUCUGGGAGGAAUCCCACGGCCAGGAGGGGCCCACUUGACAGGUGCUUCUCUGAAGGAUGGAAAAAUCGAUGCCCGCAGAAGAGCGGGCUCAUGGAAGGUACGGACAGCGCAGUGAGAAGACCCAGGUCCCGGGGGAGGCAGGCGCCCGGGGGCCUGCCGGCCUGGCGCUGGCUGUUCCCCGGCUCCCAGAACAAACUCAGAGGCGGGCGUGGGCAGCCCGGAAGCCAGCGAUGUGGUUUUGUCUUUUAAGAUUUUUGUUCUGAUUACAAAAGCUGUAUAUGUUAACGUAGAAAAUAAAAAUUACUGAAUCCAUCCCCAGAGGUAACCUCCCUGCCAACGUGUGUAGUAAACCCUUCCAGCCUCUGCACAUCGAAUGCACUUUUUAUUUUUGCAAAAAUAGGACAUGCUCAGCUGCUUUUUUCAAAUUCAACUCUCUGCCACCAACAUCUCUCUGUGCCGUUUCCUGGCGCAACAUCAUUGUGUCUGAUGGCUGCACCACGAGUCGUCCUGGUGGAUGGUGGAGGCCCCACAAAGGCCUUGGAGUCAGCGUCUCGGCCCCUUGGCUGUGUGACCUCAGGCAGGUGGCCUGCACCCUCUGGCCUCCCUGGUCCUCCUCUGCGUGAUGGGGUACUGAUGCCUGCCCUACAGCCUGGUGGCGAGGAUUACAGGAGGAAAGAGGCAGAAAUCACGCAGUCCACGCAGAGCACAUCGAAGGCAUUCCAUCAGUGAUGGCUAUUAUUAUUUUUUGUCUGUAUUGUUAUACAGCUAAACCAUCAUUCUUUAGCCAGUCCUCUGUUAAGGAACAUUUAGGUUGUUUAUUCGGUUUCCCUUCAAGAAGAAGGCAUCAGUGGAUAUCCUUGCCAAGAAAUCUUUGACAAAUCCUCAAUGAUUAAUUUUGAGUGUUUUCUAGGAGGAGAGCGAUGCGCCCUGGGAAAGGUACGCACGUUUUAGGACCAGUUUGUUCUAGAUACCACACACUGCCCUCCGGAAAUGUCCUGGUGAUGCUCUGUGAGUUUCCUGGGCUGCCAUAACAAACUGCCACAACCGGGGUGGCUUCAACAACAGAAAUUUCUUCUCACGCAGUUCUGGAGGCCAGAUCCAAAAUCGGGUGAUGGCAGGGCCACGCUCCCCCUGAAGACCCUGGGGGAGAAUCCUUCCUCGCCUCUCACAGCUUCUGCCAGCAGCCCGCAUUCCUUGGCUUGUAGCCCCAUCGCUGAGGUCUCUGCCCCUGUGCUCACAUCGUCUCCUCCUGUCGUCUUCUCCCCUGUGUGUCUCUUACUGUCAUAUGAUCCAGGAUGACCUCCUCCUCUCAAGAUCCUCAAUUUAAUCACGCUGGCAAAGAUUCUUUUGCCAAAUGAGGUACCGUUCCUGGGUUCUGGGGGUUGGGACGUGAUCAUGUCCUUACUCCUGCUGAGGAAGGAGGGUCGUGUUGAAUUCCUUUUUCCCUCACUGCACAGCACAGUCUCAUCUUUUUGAAAUGUCUGGCCAAUUUGGUAGGGUAAAAAUGAUCUCUUGUUUUAAAGUGCAUUUCUUUAGCUGUUAAUGAAGAGGGACGAUUUUCGUGGGCUUGUGGGUCGUUUGUAUUUCUCAUUUUCUUACUGAUUCGUGUCCUUUGUCCAAUUCGCUAUUAGGUGUCAUUGUCUUCCUCUGGGUGUGCAAGAGCUCUUUGUAGAUUAGGGAUGUUGAAUCUUUAUUAUAGCUUGUAAAUAUCUUCCUAAUGGGUCACUUGCUUUUUAGGUUUUUUCAUAGUUCUUCAACGUAUAUAACUUUUCAACUUUUCUGUAGUCAAAGCUUUGAGAGGAUUUUUCCAUCAGUCGAAUAAUUAAACAGGCUUUUCCCAGUCACAUUAUUUUCAUCUAGCGCUUUAACAGUUUCACUUUUAUAUUUAAGUUUUUGCUCUGUCUGCAGUUUAUUUUAGUUGUGGUGUAUGUUAAGGCUAAUUGCCUCCCCCACUAAUUAUUGAACAGCUGUCGAUGCCAUUUAAUAAUAGUCCACAUUUUCCCAAUUGAUUUUAAAUGAUACCUUCAUAAUAUAUUCAAUUUGACUUCUUGCUCCGAUAACGUAGCAGACUGAGGAAUGUGGCCUCCUCCUGCUGAGCAACGUCAACCAAACUUUGCAACAACAACAAAAGUAAUUAAUCUUGAAAGAAAGAAGGAAUGGGAGAUGCCCAGGUGCUGGAAGAUGGGAGGGAAAAACCAGAACCGGAAGCUAUUCCAUGACUGAGGACCCCAAAAAGGCAAGAUCCUCAGUGAAGAGAGCUCACAGCUGAAAAUAGAGACCACAGGCUGGAACGAUCUACCACGAGGGAGAGUCAGCAGACAAAACAAGAAGGGUCAGUCCUCAAGAAACUGAGAUAACAGCACAGCCCAAAAGAGACUACAACAUGAAUGCUUUAAAUUAUUUUUAAAAAAUUAAAAACGCGUAAGAAAAUUAAAAGACACCGUGGAAAAAGAAGAGGCAGACGUGAAGGAAAAACAAGGAUCUAAAAGUGAAAAAUGCAGUUGUUGAAGUUAACAUUUCAACGAAUGGGUCGAAUAGCAGAUUAGACACAGCUGGAGAAAUGUUCACACACUGAAAGACGGAACUGAGGAAAUUACCCAGCAUGCGGUCAACAAAGAUAGAGAAACAGAAUGAAAAUAAAAACUAACAAAAUAGAGUAAGAAAGUCCAACCCACGCCUCAGAGAGGACCUGAAAGGACACACACUAGGGAGAGAAUGGAGGGGAGAGAUAUUCAACGUGAUAAUGUCUGAGAAGAUUCCGGAAGUGAUGAAAGACACAACUCCUUAGAUUUAAGAAGUGGGUCAGUCCCAAGAAGGAUGAAUAACAGUGAGUCUGCACCUAGAUAUAUGUACCAAAGACAAAGAAAGUGACUUAGAGCAACCAGAAGGAGAGACCAGAUUACCUCAUGCCCGUCGUAAAAGCAUAGUGUUCCAACACUUUAUACGUUAGCUCUUUAAGUCUUCAGAAUAACUCUCUUAGUAUUCUUAUUAUCCACAUUUUAAGGAUUGAAAAAUCAAGGCACAGAAAGUUUAAGUGAUCUUCAUUACUUCAUGCUACUUAAGUAAUUUUGGUUGCGACCAUGGCCCCUGAGGAGUCAUGCUUCCUCAUGACCACACCCUUGUGUGGUGCGACUUCACUGCUCCUCCCCAAGAGGACACUCUUGCUGUGAAGGAGAGGCCACUCUCCUCCCGCCUUGAGUCUAGACUGGCCUCGAGACUUGCUUUGACCAAUGGAAUGCAGCAGAGAUGAUGCUGUGUGGCUUCCAAAGCCAGGCCUUAAGGAGCCUUGUAGUUUCCACUUUUGCAUCUUAGAUCACUUCCAUCAUUGCGUCAAGAAGCCCAACACAGACUUCUGGUGGAAGAGAAGCAAGAUGACCCACCUGACAGCCAGCAUCAACUGCCAGGCUUUGAGCGAGGCCGUCCUGAACCCUCCACCCAGUCAAGCCCCAGAUGAGAGCAGCCACACGAGUGACUCAAGGCCAGACAAGCGCACACAGCAGAACCGUGAGCCGCAGCUCACCGGGCACAGAAUUACACAGUGAUGGCUGACAGGGCCGGGACUGGGACCCAGGCAGGCCAGGACUCCAGAACAGGCACCUUCACCAUGAUGCCAUGGCAAAAGCCAUCAGCAACAAUGGAGACCAGAAGACAAUGCAACCUUAAAUCUUCAAGACGAUGGAAGAAAAUGUUUGUCAACUUAAGCUGCCUUUCAGCUAAACCGUCUUUCAAGAGUAAGAGCAAAAUAAAGACAUUUCAGACAAACACAGAAACUUCACCACUCACAGAGCUUCGCUGAAAGAACUCAUAAAAGAUUACCUUAGGAAGAAGGUGGUCAAGCCCAGUAUCAAGUAUGUGAUGAACAAUGAGCAAAGAUUUUUAAAAGGUAAAACCUAAAUAAAUGUUGGCUGUAAAAAUCGGUGAUAAUAAUGACAAACAUACCCUCAAAACAAGAUGGAACUAAAAUAUGAGGCAAUCACACAUGGUGAUGACUUUCCAAGGGGUUAAGUCACCUACGACCUCGUCCUGUCCAGGAGGACGGUGGAGGACACGGAUUUAGAUUGUAAGUCAAUUAUGCAUGAUAAGAAUUUAAAGAUAACCUCCAACAGGAAGAAAUGGAAUGUAUAACUUUCAAACCAAUAUAGGGAAAAGGGAAAUAAAGAAAACACUAUCAGCCCAAUAAAAAGCAAAAAAGAGGAGGGAAAGAAGAAAACGAUUGACUUUUUGUGUUUUUAUUCUAUAACUGACCACUUUUGUAGAAUUCUCCUAUUACUUAAUAGUUUUUCACUUCCUUCCCUUGGGUUUUCAAGUAGACAAUUAUAUUAUCCACAAAUAAGGAUAAUUUUGUCCCCUUUUUAGCGGUUGUCCUUUAUGUUUCUUGUCUUCUUGCAUUGUCUAGGACUUUCAGAGCCAUGUCACACUAUAGGGGCAUUAUCAAGCAUCCUCACCUUAUUCUGGAUCUUGGUAAGAAUGCUUCCAAUAUUUUACCAUUCAAUUUGAUGUUGGCUGUGAGAUGGAUAUUCUUUGUCAUGGAAUUAGUCAGGAUAAGCUAGAGUAUGCUGCCGUAACAAAUAAUGUCAAAAUCUCACGGCUUGAGUGAGGUUUAUUUCUUGUUCAUGUUAAGUCCAGGCAGUUCUCUCUCAGUUACGGCUGUGAUUGGCUCAGCAUUGCACCUCCACAUCCGGGAAUGCUCCCCUGCUCGCUGAGGCGAGGGAAAGAGAAUCGGAGAGUCUCGUACCAGGAAUUAAGUGCUUCUAUGUAGACAUGGCACACAUUACUUCAGCUCGUGUUGAUGUCACAUGGUCCUGCCUAACCCCAGUGGAAAGUGCGUCCCCAGCCUGGAAAGAUCGGCAGACAUUGCAGAUGUCACGCUAACCGAGUUAAGGAAGCAUCCUUUCAUUGCCGAUUUUACACUUGGGACCCUGGAAGACCCUAAAAGUCAACUUGAAAAGUCACUGGGGCCUUGGCUGUCUGACGACUAGCGGAGGAGGCUGGUGUGACAAGAAAGGCGAGGUGACGCAUUCGCAGGCCCUGACGACGCCUGCCUCCACCGGCGCCUUUAAUCGUGUGGAGGCCCUGAAUCCUUGUAAGCCAUCCCCCCCUUUCCUGAGCAGAUUUCUGCUUCUUGAGGCCACACAGUCUCAACCAGGAUCAUUUGCUGAUGUUUUCUUUGGGAUUUUUAUCAGAUUCCUAAGCAAGACUGGUCUGUAGUUUUGUGCUAUCUGCCUAUUCUUGGUUUUAGGGUGAUGCUGUGUUCUUAAGAUAGUCGGGGAAACUUUCCGUCUUUCCUGUGUCCUGAAACAGAAUGUUUGAAAUAUCUGAAUAUUGGCCAGAAGUGUCAGGACCCAACCGUUGUCCAGGAGGUAGCGCCUUCCUUCCUUUUCCAGUUUACCCUGUAGUAGUAGGUUCUUGAGUUUUCUUCUACUUGUUAAAUUGGUUUUAGUUAUAUGUAUUUUCCUAUAAAAAUACCCACUUAUUCAUAUUUUCAAAUUCAUCAUCACAAGGCUUUACUUAAUAUAAUUUAAUUAAAAAAAUUCUUUUGUUCCCAUUGUGCAUUCAUUUCUCUCUGUUUAUUAUCUAUGGACCUCCUAGAAAUUUACCUAAUUUAUCAGACUUUCCAAAAAACCAAAAACCAAGUCAU